This 82-nucleotide transfer RNA is filed under the name Halosimplex pelagicum. Its description in RNAcentral is "tRNA-Leu". It matches the Rfam family "tRNA". From Rfam's summary of the family: Transfer RNA (tRNA) molecules are approximately 80 nucleotides in length. Their secondary structure includes four short double-helical elements and three loops (D, anti-codon, and T loops). Lineage: Archaea; Methanobacteriati; Methanobacteriota; Halobacteria; Halobacteriales; Haloarculaceae. The record is from RNAcentral.
GUCGCCGUACCCAAGUGGCCGAAGGGGAGCGGCUCAGGACCGCUUGGUUAGUCCUUCCGAGGUUCGAAUCCUCGCGGCGACA